RNAcentral lists this microRNA precursor (45 nucleotides) under Populus euphratica (Euphrates poplar). Lineage: Eukaryota; Viridiplantae; Streptophyta; Magnoliopsida; Malpighiales; Salicaceae. The record is from RNAcentral.
AAACAGAGGAGAAAAACAAAAUUUUCUUCCCCUGUUCUCUGCGUG